This 405-nucleotide ribosomal RNA is filed under the name Triticum aestivum (bread wheat). Its description in RNAcentral is "partial small subunit ribosomal RNA". The record is from RNAcentral. Lineage: Eukaryota; Viridiplantae; Streptophyta; Magnoliopsida; Poales; Poaceae.
AUGAUCCACUACCGCUCUGCUGUUGGGACUAAUUUGGAUGGGAAUGGUGAUUUGAUGGUUGAUUAUGAUUACUUGGUUCUUGCUCUUGGAGUUACUGUGAAUACAUUCAACACUCCUGGUGUGAUGGAGCAUUGCCACUUUCUGAAGGUAGUGGAGGAUGCCCAAAAGAUUCGGAAGAGCGUGAUAGACUGCUUUGAAAAGGCGUCACUUCCUAACCUUAGUGAAGAGGAGAAAAGGAAGAUCCUUCACUUUGUGAUUAUCGGUGGUGGACCUACUGGGGUUGAAUUUGCUGUGGAGUUGCAUGAUUUUCUUGUCGAAGAUCUGGUGAAGCUAUAUCCUGCAAUUGAAGAAAACUCUCAACUCCUACUUGCGCUCCGCCUCUUCCUCCUUUUCAUCGCUCAAUAG